RNAcentral lists this unclassified non-coding RNA (335 nucleotides) under soil metagenome. RNAcentral describes it as "partial contains 5.8S ribosomal RNA, internal transcribed spacer 2, and large subunit ribosomal RNA". The stretch from base 1 to 120 matches the Rfam family "5.8S ribosomal RNA", at positions 35 to 154 of the family's 154-position model. The record is from RNAcentral.
GAUGAAGAACGUAGCGAAAUGCGAUAAGUAAUGUGAAUUGCAGAAUUCAGUGAAUCAUCGAAUCUUUUAACGCACAUUGCGCCCGCUAGUAUUCUGGCGGGCAUGCCUGUUCGAGCGUCAUUUCAACCAUCAAGCCCCUUAGCUUGUGUUGGGGACCUGCGGCUGCCGCAGCCCCCGAAAUGCAGUGGCGGGCUCGUUGUCACACCGAGUGCAGUAAUCAUUCUUCUCUCCGGGCGUGGCGGCGGGUUCCGGCCGUAAAAUCACCAAUUUAUCAAGGUUGACCUCGGAUCAGGUAGGAAUACCCGCUGAACUUAAGCAUAUCAAUAAGCGGAGGA